AACAAUGUCUUAAUUUAACUCCAAGCAUCAUCCGUUCAAAUGGACGUUGUGAAAAAUUGAAAACCCUAACCACACUUUCUCUCCUCAACACGGGCGCGCGUAUUCGCUGUCUGUAAGAGCAAAGGAUGACUCUAGAAAUUGAAGCUCGAGAUGUGAUCAAGAUCGUGCUCCAGUUCUGCAAAGAGAAUUCAUUGCACCAAACGUUCCAGACGUUGCAGAAUGAGUGCCAAGUCUCGCUCAAUACAGUGGAUAGUAUCGAGACGUUUGUUGCUGAUAUCAAUAGUGGAAGAUGGGAUGCUAUAUUGCCUCAGGUGGCUCAACUCAAGCUUCCCAGAAAUAAAUUGGAGGACUUGUAUGAGCAGAUUGUAUUAGAAAUGAUAGAACUUCGAGAGUUAGACACUGCACGUGCCAUUUUAAGGCAAACUCAGGCAAUGGGUGUCAUGAAGCAGGAGCAACCUGAGAGAUACUUGCGUCUUGAGCAUCUCCUAGUUAGAACUUAUUUCGAUCCAAAUGAGGCUUACCAGGAUUCAACCAAGGAGAAAUGUCGUGCACAGAUUGCCCAAGGUUUUUCCUCGUUUACAUUCUUGUUAUUGAAUUAAUUGUGAAGAUCCCCUGCACUUAUUUUGUAUUGAAUGUUUCAUAAUUGACAAUGAAUUCCUUAAUAUUUAAAGGUUCAAUAUGCGAUUUUUCUUCUUGAUUGUUAGAAAUAGAAUUCACUGUUAUUUUUCUCAUUAUCUUCCUGAAUAAUUGGGUUGGUUCUCUCAUCUUCUGCCUUAUCUUGCUUCAAGCCUUGAAAUGCCUAGAGUUGAGCAUUAAGAUUGCUAAAUGUGGCAGCUCUACAGGAUUAUCAUCAUUGUGUUAGCAUAACAGUGUAGCGGUAUUUUGAUAAUUGGUUGUUUUCUAUUUUUUGUUCUCUUUUACAUUACGUACCCUUGGCAUUUUGGGGUUGCAACAUAUCAUUGUUUUAGUGGGCCAGCCCUUACAAGUGCUGGAUAUGGUAUCCAAACGGGGGAGAUGAUAGAAACUACACAUGAAUGAAUCGGAAAUCUAGGUUGAAAGAAUAAGGUUUUAGCCUGUUAUACAGUAUGGCUCUUGGAGGUCCAACAGGUUUUAAGCUGCUGAUUUGAUGAAAUCAUGGCUUUAAUGAUUCGGUGCAUUAUUGAGGUAUUACAUGAGAUUCUUUUCUUGAUGAUUUGGAUUUUUGAACAUUUUCAAGGAAAUUUCUUCUUUUAUGUGCAUUUUGUUGCAUGGGCUGUGUCCAAUAUGGUUCUUCCCCCUGCCCCUCUUUCCCUCACCCCCAUUGCCCCCUUUCUUUCCUUUUACUUGUGAGAGAAAGGGAAAGCUAUGUUGUAGAAGGACAAUUGCUCAACUUGUGAAGUUUCUAGGUGCCCAGACUAGUUAUUUAAAUAGAAACAGCUAAAAGAUGUUGAUAAAGAAGAAGGCUUAAUAAAGUGAAAACAAAAAAGAAAGCAGGAUAUAAACUUCUAAAUGAUGGUUAAUGGGAUUGACUUAAAUAGCCUUUCAACCUACUCCCUGGCUCAACCUAAUUGUUGUUUCAAAACCACCCAUAAAGGUGAUGUGGGGGGGGAUUGUUGUUUUAUAUUAUUUCUUAUGGCAUUUAGAGUGCAUGUAAGUUAAGAGUCAAGCUUUUUAUCACCAGUGUGGAAUUCAGCAAAUAGGUUUCAGUUAAGAUUGCAAGAUAUAGGCAGCAGGCAAAUAUACAUAACAAAAUAAGGUUUUAAAAUUUUUGCAAUGGAUGUAUUCACGGUACCUGUUGCUUUGCAUGCAUUUCUGUUUAUGCUUUAUUUUAGGUUUUCUAGUCAAUGAAAUUCUUUUUACCUUUUAUGCAUUCAGCUCUAGCUUCAGAAGUUAGUGUUGUUCCACCUUCUCGAUUAAUGGCUUUAAUUGGCCAGGCCCUAAAGUGGCAGCAACACCAAGGGUUGCUUCCACCAGGAACACAGUUUGACUUAUUUAGAGGAACAGCUGCUAUGAAACAGGAUGUAGAUGACAUGUACCCUACGACUCUCGCACACACUAUUAAGUUUGGAUCAAAAAGUCAUGCAGAAUGUGCUCGGUUCUCACCAGAUGGGCAGUUCCUUGUCUCAUGCUCUGUUGAUGGGUUCAUUGAGGUCUGGGAUUACCUAAGCGGAAAGCUCAAGAAGGAUCUUCAGUACCAGGCUGAUGAAACCUUUAUGAUGCAUGAUGAUCCUGUCCUAUGUGUUGAUUUUAGCCGAGAUUCUGAGAUGAUUGCAUCGGGUUCCCAAGAUGGGAAGAUCAAAGUUUGGCGGAUAAGGACUGGUCAAUGCUUGCGCCGUCUUGAACGUGCGCAUUCUCAAGGAGUAACUAGUGUUGUCUUCUCUCGUGAUGGAAGCCAGCUGCUAAGUACAUCCUUUGACAGCACAGCCAGAAUACAUGGCCUAAAAUCUGGCAAGUUGUUAAAAGAAUUCCGGGGUCAUACAUCCUACGUGAAUGAUGCCAUCUUUACAAGUGAUGGAACUCGUGUUAUUACUGCCUCCAGUGAUUGUACAGUCAAGGUUUGGGAUGUGAAGAGUACAGAGUGUAUACAUACAUUUAGGCCACCGCCUCCAUUGAGGGGAGGUGAUGCUUCUGUGAACUCUGUUCAUCUUUUCCCAAAGAACACAGAUCACAUUGUUGUUUGUAAUAAGACAUCAUCGAUAUGCAUCAUGACCCUUCAAGGACAGGUUGUGAAGAGUUUCUCAUCUGGUAAAAGAGAAGGUGGAGAUUUUGUCGCAGCAUGUUUGUCACCAAAAGGGGAAUGGAUAUAUUGUGUUGGUGAAGACAGGAAUACGUACUGCUUCAGCCACCAAUCUGGUAAACUAGAGCAUCUGAUGAAGGUUCAUGAGAAAGAUGUAAUAGGUGUGACUCACCAUCCCCAUCGGAAUCUCAUUGCCACAUACAGUGAAGAUUGUACAAUGAAAUUAUGGAAGCCUUGAAUUGCCCUUAUGUUGAUCCUUUUUAAAUUCUCUCAUAAAGACAAUUUUUUGCCCUACAUCAACUUUUCAUGUUCCAUCGGCUUCGAAACAGUAAUGUACUUGCAUCUAUCAUUCUCAACUGAAGGGGACUAGAACAUUGUGGCCAACUAGCCUUAGAAAUUUCAAUUCCAUUUUCUUGUACAGGUAACAAAUUAAGGAUCAUUUCUUUUUACUUAUCUCCAUCACAGCAGGUUGAAUUAUGCAGAGAACAAUCUUCCUACCCUUUUAACUUUUGAGCUGCCUUUUCCUUGGGGUUUAUAGACAAGGAUACUUGCUCAAAUUGGUCAGUACUUGGCAGUUGGGAGCCCAUCUUCUUUGUAGCCAGGGAUAUGGCUAUAGAGGCACAAUGGUCAGCAAUGAAUUAUGAGGCCUUAGAAAUGAUUGGAACAUUUGUUAUUGUUUUGAGCUGCCCUUUUGCCCUUGGACUAACAUUGCUGCAGUUGGUGAGCAACUAGUCUCUUCUGCUUCCACAAAAUGGUUCCUUGUAUGGGAGAAUUGAGCAGAAUAUGACAUAUCCACUAACCACCUAAAUGCUCAAAAUAUUCAAUAUCAUUCACCUGUCUUCCAUUCUUACUCUCCUAAAACGCAAUGGCACGCGCUGCAUGCUGUUUCAGCUCAAUUGCCAAUGAUUGCCAAUUGCUUGUCGCUGCUGCAAGAAUGGGGUCAUGGUCAUCAGCUUUUUGCCUUAUAAGAUAAAAACAUUUGAUCAUUUGGUUAUUUAACCCUGUUGCUUGCUUCAAGCUUUUUCCCAUGAAUUUAAUUUGAUUCUUUAAACUCCAUCCUUGUGCACAAUUUUUUAUUUUUUUAAAAAAAUUUAGAGUCAAUAAAGGAGAUGAUGGAGAUUUGAAUUCAUGUCUCUAGUUACUGGGUUGUUGAUUUAAUGAUGGACACUCACAUCCAAUCGUAGGUUGGGUAUAGGAUGUGUAACUUAUGAGCCAUGUGAAGGUGCUCCAUCAUCAUGCAUGGAAAGUCUUCACACUAAUCUUUUUACAGUGUAUUGAUAAAUUAUUUAAACUUUAAUUUGUAACAUAAAAUUUC
RNAcentral lists this unclassified non-coding RNA (4031 nucleotides) under Hevea brasiliensis (rubber tree). Lineage: Eukaryota; Viridiplantae; Streptophyta; Magnoliopsida; Malpighiales; Euphorbiaceae. The record is from RNAcentral.